This 484-nucleotide ribosomal RNA is filed under the name uncultured bacterium. Its description in RNAcentral is "partial 16S ribosomal RNA". It matches the Rfam family "Bacterial small subunit ribosomal RNA", at positions 28 to 523 of the family's 1533-position model. The record is from RNAcentral.
GACGAACGCUGGCGGCGUGCUUAACACAUGCAAGUCGAACGGUGACGAUCAAGCUUGCUUGGUCUGAUCAGUGGCGAACGGGUGAGUAACACGUGAGUAACCUGCCCCAGACUCUGGGAUAACCCCGGGAAACCGGAGCUAAUACCGGAUAUGACAUGCCCCUGCACGGGGAGUGUGUGGAAAGUUUUUCGGUCUGGGAUGGACUCGCGGCCUAUCAGCUUGUUGGUGAGGUAAUGGCUCACCAAGGCGACGACGGGUAGCCGGCCUGAGAGGGCGACCGGCCACACUGGGACUGAGACACGGCCCAGACUCCUACGGGAGGCAGCAGUGGGGAAUAUUGCACAAUGGGCGAAAGCCUGAUGCAGCGACGCCGCGUGAGGGAUGACGGCCUUCGGGUUGUAAACCUCUUUCAGCAGGGAAGAAGCGCAAGUGACGGUACCUGCAGAAGAAGCACCGGCUAACUACGUGCCAGCCGCCGCGAUAA